AUUUAUCGGAGAGUUUGAUCCUGGCUCAGGACGAACGCUGGCGGCGUGCCUAAUACAUGCAAGUCGAGCGGACAGAUGGGAGCUUGCUCCCUGAUGUUAGCGGCGGACGGGUGAGUAACA
RNAcentral lists this ribosomal RNA (120 nucleotides) under Bacillus sp. FJAT-27445. RNAcentral's name for it is "partial 16S ribosomal RNA". It matches the Rfam family "Bacterial small subunit ribosomal RNA", at positions 1 to 115 of the family's 1533-position model. The record is from RNAcentral. Lineage: Bacteria; Bacillati; Bacillota; Bacilli; Caryophanales; Bacillaceae.